RNAcentral lists this long non-coding RNA (4108 nucleotides) under Homo sapiens (human). RNAcentral's name for it is "long non-coding RNA NONHSAT128113.2". Lineage: Eukaryota; Metazoa; Chordata; Mammalia; Primates; Hominidae. The record is from RNAcentral.
AACAUUUAUCUAUGUAUUCAGAAUCACACACAAGUUACCUUUACAGUUCAAUUUACUAUAUAGAAAUCAUUGGGUUUUAUAUUUGCAGUUAACUUUUGAACUGAGAUUACAAUAUUAUAACAAAAAACUUUACAUUAAUUCAGAACUUUUUAGCAUACCAAAUUGAAAUACAUAGGUUCAAAUUUCAGAUUUAUGGCAAACAGUCUUCAAAUACAAUACAGACAUUUCUUAAAAGUUACCGUAUCAUUCACAUGUGAUAUUUGCAACUCUGAGCUAUUUCUUAUAGAACAGCUCUCCUGCAGAUAUGGCAAAGUUGAUAUGCCAUGAAGUUCAAGGCCUGUAUAGUCAAGCCAAGGACUCAAAGUUGCACCAUCUUUAAAAAGGUUUGGCAUUUCUGGACCACAACAAUGCACAACAUGUAAAGAAGGUAGGAAACAGUUCCCCCUCCUUGUUAAAUGGUUAAAAAAAGUUACAUGGUAGCUUGGAAUUUUGCAUAAAACCCCAUAAUAUACCUUGGAAAAGUCCAAGGGCAAUUUGAUGGCAAUGGAUUGGGGCCCUAUAUAUAUAUAUUUUUAAUAGAACCCAUGAGAUUUAAAUGGGCAUUAAUCAAAUCAAAAAAUAUUAAGCACCUACUGGUUUAAGAGAUUUAAAUUUAUUAGAGAUUCAUGAUCAAUUUCUUUCCACCUCGAAAUCAAGGUGUAAAAACCAGCUAUUAAGUGCAUUCCAAACUUCUCCUAUGUAGCACAGGUAGAAUUUUCUGUCCAUUGGCACCAAAGUGAAGUCACAUUUCCUCUUGGGAGACAGAAAUUCCACACCUGAACACAGAGUAAGUUAGGAAAAAAUGACCCCUGUUGUUUAUUACUAUUGUGAUUCUGAGAUCUAGGAUUUCUAAUAUACUAGCAGUAAACAAAGCAAAUUCCUGGCAACAACUGUCAGGUUAGUGAUGCUAACUCCCUUCCCCCAACCACCAUAAAAUUUUAGUAAGAAAAGAAUUAAAAGUAAUGACUAAGCAGAACAAAUUGGAAAUAACAAGAAACUAAGGGGACAGUUCAAACCAACAACAAAAAAUCCUAAAUUUGAAAUCACUGCAACUGAAGAUAAUAAGUGUGCUUCACCCCAACCCCCAUCCCAACUCUGAAUUUAAACAUUCCGUGCAAAAGAGCAACAGGUUUCUGGAUAAAGAUGUAGCCCUUCUUUAAGUUUUAGUGCUCUGCAGUUUUCUGCAAUUUUAUUUCCCUCCCCCCAAGUUUAUUCAAAGUAUUUAACAGAAUCUUCCAUUUCAGCCAAAAGAUUGUGAUUCAAAGAUUUACUAAGGUACUCUAUGCAUUCUAUCUAUACAGAAACACCUAUUUAUUAUUACAGUUGAUUUAUGCAGGAUUAACAUUUUUGGUGUUAAAAUUGUUAAACAUCAUGCUUACUGCACAUCAACUCUCCAUAAUGAAUCUGAACUUCACAAUGAUUUACCAAACACUUUACUUAAAUUACUAAUUAAAUAAAUGAAAAAUGCACCGAGCCAAACAAAACUUAACUGGGCUAUAAAGAAAAAAACCCUUCAAAACAGUCCAUAUACACAUCUAUUUCAAAACUACCUUUGCUAGCUAGCCCCUUUCCCAAAGUUUUAGCCUGAAAAAACAGUAAAAUCUACACAAAAUUUUAUUGCAAUCAUACAAGGGUUACAUUAGGUCAACAAAUACUAUGAUGCAAUUUUACAUUUAUUAAACUACAGUUCAAAGCACAAAUUUACACAUUCUAAAUACACUAAACGUUAUCUAAUGAAGUCACACUGGUCUUCUAACAUUUGAUAUAUCUGGGUGAAAGACAUGAACUUUACAAGACUUUAAACACAAAUCCUUAGUAUAAAAACUGUGUUCUUGUAUGUAAACGAUUUAAUGGGGAACCCAAUUAAUGGGCUUCCAUCUCCACUAAGUCAUCCAUUUUGUUGCAUAUUUUAUUUUAAACGCUUAAGGGGUAGGACAAACUGGUAGGUUUAAAUCUGGAUACAUUAUCUAAAUCUCCCAUUAUCCCCAAUGAAUUAUAGAUGAAAGCUGAUUUUGUCUGGUCCCAAAUAGCUAUUACUAAUAGUUUUUGUUGCCAAAAGAAUUAAGAGAAUAAGAUUGUUUAAAUUAUUUUUCCACACUGGAAUGUUGACCAGACAAGCUUAACCUGCAACUUCAGAUCUAAAGAAGCGUUAAUGCCUGUUUAAGCUUCAGCGGAAAAGCUGUCUUCUUGGCUCAGCUGAAUGCAAGAAGGCACAAAGAAGAAGUUCUUCAUCAUUGAGUCUGAAGUAAUUCCAGCAUCUUGCAUCUCAUACCAAUCACUGAAUGACAUCAUGUAAUAAAUGGCUGGCCUCUGAAAAUCAUUAAAAGCAGAUGGUUCAUGGAAAGAAUCUGCUCCCAUGUUAUCAAAGAUAAGCCAAUCUCCCACAUUCAGCUCAGGAAGAAGACAGCUUUCCACAAUUUGAUCAAGCUCAUCACAGGAUGGACCCCAAAGGCUGCUUGUAAACAGAGGCUCAUCUUCCUUGUAUUUCUUGUGAACCUCUGGAAUGGUAUUUAAGUCCUCAGACAGUUUACUUGCAAAAGAACCAUAAACACCAUCAUUCAUAUAAUACAUGAAGGCUGGUUCAUCACUUCCGGUUUUUUCUACUCCAGAGGGAAAUUUAUCAUUUUCAACAACUUUCUUUGCUAUGAUAUUAACUGCGAGUGUAAAUGCAGAAGACACAUAGUAGCUUCCGGGUUCUGAAAUUAUCUUAACACCAGAUCCUUCAGGAAAGUAGAUAUCCAACAGAGGGCUGAUAACAUGAUUAACCUCUUCCAAUUGAAAUUCAGUUCCCGUGAAUCCUCCACCAAUGUCUAACAUGUUCAUCGUAAAGCCAAUUUCUCCAGCCAUGUCAAACACACAUCGAGCAUCAGAUAGAGCAUGUACAUAUACUUGAGAUUCUUUGCAAGCACUCGAAACAUGAAAUUUAACCCCAAUUAUUUGGACAUCAAGUUCCUUAGCACAUUCCAAGAGAUGCCUACAGUUCUUCAGGGUAGUGCCAAACUUCAUGUUACCCUCUUCACCUCCAAUAUUAUCUUCUGUUGCAAUAUGUAGUAAGACCUUGGCAUUUGGGUGAUUACGUGCAAUUUUCUUCAAUUCAAUUUCAUUGUCACAUGUCAGGAUAUUCACUCCAACUUUUGCUGCAUACUUUAUCUGAGACACUUGCUUGCAAGGACUUAUGUAAAUAAUGUUUUCUGGAGGUACACCCAACUCUUGCACUAAAGCCAUUUCAUUUUUACUGGAACAAGCAAAUCCGGUUCCAAGAGCUGCCAAAAUCUCAAGUACAGCUGGAGCAGAGUUGCACUUCACUGUGUAGAAUGGCUUUAUCUGAGCCACUACAUUCUGCCAUUGACUGUGUUUCUUCACAAUCUUUCCAAGAUCUCCCACAAAAAAUGCAUUUUUCCCUGUCAGGGUAUGUUCAUAAACAUAGUUAUCAAUAACAUUUCCAAGGUUUGUUCCUUCAUCCAACAGGCCAACGGAGUAGUUUGCAUCAUCAAUAAAUCCUUUCAUCUCAGCCGUAUUCCACAAAGCCGAAAGUCAUAAACCAGGAAAGACAAGAGACGGGCCACCAAGCCUAUGUCUGGGUCCUUAGAAUAUGCAACAAAAUGGACAAGUUGGGAGAUGGAACCCCCCUAUCAUCAGCUAGGUUCCCAAGGUGGCUCAGCGUUGAAGUCGAACUGCUCUCUAUACAGCACUUCUCCUAGGCCCUCUGGGUAGUUGUAUACUUGGUCAGAAAGUUCGCCGUGAGAUAACGGCCCAAAGAGUCGGGUAAAGCGUCUUCUCUUUUUCGGCGGAAUUUUUAAAGAGGGAUGUGGUUACCUUGAGCAGAAAUACCCAAGGCGGCCUGGGCCAUAGGCUGCGGGAACGACUUGGGGGUAAAAGCGCGGCACCGACACCAGCUGUGUGCAGCAGUGGCGGCGGCGGCCGAAGGAGAAAUAGAACAGCGCAGGCAAAAGAAGAAAGGCGCGGGCUGGGUGGGAAGAGGAUUCGGACUCGUCACACUGCAGAGCAGCAGAGCGAGAAAGGAUGAGAAGAGGCAGAGAAGGCGACGGCAGAAGAAAAAAGGAAAAAC